GACGAACGCUGGCGGCGUGGAUUAGGCAUGCAAGUCGAACGGUAUCAUCCUUUCGGGGGUGAGAGAGUGGCGAACUGGUGAGUAACACGUAGGUUAUCUACCCUCAAGACGGGGACAACCCAGGGAAACUUGGGCUAAUACCGGAUGUGAGCAACUUUUAGUUGUUUGAAAGGUGGCGUAAGCUGUCGCUUGGGGAUGAGCCUGCGUCCUAUUAGUUAGUUGGUGAGGUAACGGCUCACCUAGGCAAUGAUAGGUAGGCGGCCUUAACGGGUGGUCGCCCACACUGGGAUUGAGAUACGGCCCAGACUCCUACGGGAGGCAGCAGUCGAGAAUAGUCUACAAUGGUCGGAAGACUGAUAGUGCGACGCCGCGUGAACGAUGAAUCCCUUCGGGGUGUAAAGUUCUUUUAUAUGUGAGCAGUGCUUCUUAUAUUAACAGUAUGGGGAGAGAGAUAUUAAGCAUAUGAAUAAGCAAACGGCUAAACUCCCGUGCCCAGCCAGCCGCGGUUAAAA
RNAcentral lists this ribosomal RNA (512 nucleotides) under uncultured bacterium. Its description in RNAcentral is "bacterial SSU rRNA". It matches the Rfam family "Bacterial small subunit ribosomal RNA", at positions 28 to 526 of the family's 1533-position model. The record is from RNAcentral.